RNAcentral lists this long non-coding RNA (615 nucleotides) under Prunus persica (peach). Its description in RNAcentral is "long non-coding RNA (PPER_LNC003988)". The record is from RNAcentral. Lineage: Eukaryota; Viridiplantae; Streptophyta; Magnoliopsida; Rosales; Rosaceae.
UCAAAUCAGGUGAAUUGCACAAGUUUGAUAAUAAGAAGGCUGGUGAAUCCAGUCGCUUUUCACAUUCUGGUGAUCUAAAGAAAGGGAGGUCAUCUCCCCUGAGGCAUUCACGAAGUGCUUGCAUAUCCCCCUAUCGAAAUGAAGCACCUUCUGGAGUCAAAUCAGGUGAAUUGCAGAAGUUUGAGUAUAAGCAGGCUGGUGAAUCCAGUCUCUUUACACGUUCUGGUGAUCUGAAGAAAGGGAGGUUAUCUCCCCUCAGGCAUUCACGAAGUGCUUGCAUAUCCCCAUAUCGAAAUGAAGCACCUUCUGGAGUCAAAUCAGCUGAACUGCAGAAGCUUGAGUACAAGCAGGCUGGUGAGUCACGUCGCUUUUCACAUUCUGGUGAUUUAAAGAAUGGUAGGUCAUCUACCUUCAGUAAUUCACGAAGUGCUUGCGUAUCCCCCUAUCGAAAUGAAGCACCUUGUGGAGUCAAAUCAGGUGAAUUGCAGAAGUUUGAGUAUAAGCAGGCUGGUGAGUCCAAUCGCUUUUCAUAUUCUGGAGAUUUAAAGAAAGGCAGGUCAUCUACCUUCAGUAAUUCACGAAGUGCUUGCAUAUCCCCCUAUAGAAAUGAAGCAC